Molecule: transfer RNA, 73 nt
Filed under: Eschrichtius robustus (grey whale)
Lineage: Eukaryota; Metazoa; Chordata; Mammalia; Artiodactyla; Eschrichtiidae
Also listed under: 3 other names
Rfam family: tRNA
About the family: Transfer RNA (tRNA) molecules are approximately 80 nucleotides in length. Their secondary structure includes four short double-helical elements and three loops (D, anti-codon, and T loops).
Source: Rfam by way of RNAcentral
UCCCUGGUGGUCCAGUGGUUAAGACUCCACGCCUUCACUGCCGAGGGCCCAGGUUCAAUCCCUGGCCGGGGAA